ACGGCUCAGUAACACGUGGCUAAUCUGCCCUUGGGACGAGAACAACCCCGGGAAACUGGGGCUAAUUCUCGAUAGGUGAAGAACUCUGGAAUGAGUCUUCGCUUAAAAAGCUUCACGUUAUGCUCGUGAAGUCGCCCAAGGAUGAGGCCGCGACCGAUCAGGUUGUUGGUGAGGUAAUGGCUCACCAAGCCUUUUACCGGUGCGGGCCGUGAGAGCGGGAGCCCGGAGAUGGGCACUGAGACAAGGGCCCAGGCCCUACGGGGCGCAGCAGUCGCGAAAACUUUGCAAUACACGAAAGUGUGACAGGGCUAUCCCGAGUGCCAUCCGCUGAGGAAGGCUUUUACCCAGUAUAGAUCGCUGGGGGAAUAAGGAGAGGGCAAGUCUGGUGUCAGCCGCCGCGGUAAUACCAGCUCUCCGAGUGGUGUGGAUGUUUAUUGGGCCUAAAGCAUCCGUAGCUGGCUAAGUUAGUCCCUUGUUAAAUCCACCGAAUUAAUCGUUGGAUUGCGGGGGAUACUGCUUGGCUAGGGGACGAGAGAGGCAGACGGUAUUUCCGGGGUAGGGGUGGAAUCCUAUAAUCCUGGGAAGACCACCAGUGGCGAAGGCUGUCUGCUAGAACGCGCCCGACGGUGAGGGAUGAAAGCUGGGGGAGCGAACCGGAUUAGAUACCCGGGUAGUCCCAGCUGUAAACGAUGCAGGCUAGGUGUUUGGACGGCCACGUGCCGUUCUAGUGCCGCANGGAAGCUGUUAAGCCUGCCGCCUGGGGAGUACGAUCGCAAGAUUGAAACUUAAAGGAAUUGGCGGGGGAGCAC
Molecule: ribosomal RNA, 809 nt
Filed under: uncultured Methanosarcinaceae archaeon
Lineage: Archaea; Methanobacteriati; Methanobacteriota; Methanomicrobia; Methanosarcinales; Methanosarcinaceae
Description: bacterial SSU rRNA
Rfam family: Archaeal small subunit ribosomal RNA
Source: RNAcentral